RNAcentral lists this ribosomal RNA (460 nucleotides) under uncultured bacterium. RNAcentral describes it as "partial 16S ribosomal RNA". It matches the Rfam family "Bacterial small subunit ribosomal RNA", at positions 338 to 795 of the family's 1533-position model. The record is from RNAcentral.
CCUACGGGAGGCAGCAGUGAGGAAUAUUGGUCAAUGGGCGCGAGCCUGAACCAGCCAAGCCGCGUGAAGGAUGACUGCCCUACGGGUUGUAAACUUCUUUUAUAAAGGAAUAAAGUGAGGCACGUGUGCCUUUUUGUAUGUACUUUUAGAAUAAGGAUCGGCUAACUCCGUGCCAGCAGCCGCGGUAAUACGGAGGAUCCGAGCGUUAUCCGGAUUUAUUGGGUUUAAAGGGAGCGUAGGUGGGUUGUUAAGUCAGUUGUGAAAGUCUGCGGCUCAACCGUAAGAUUGCAAUUGAUACUGGCAGGCUUGAGUGCAGGUGAGGUAGGCGGAAUGCGUGGUGUAGCGGUGAAAUGCUUAGAUAUCACGAAGAACUCCGAUUGCGAAGGCAGCUUACUGGACUGCAACUGACGUUGAGGCUCGAAAGUGUGGGUAUCAAACAGGAUUAGAUACCCUAGUAGUC